AUUGAACGCUGGCGGCAUGCCUUACACAUGCAAGUCGAACGGCAGCACGGGAGCAAUCCUGGUGGCGAGUGGCGAACGGGUGAGUAAAGUAUCGGAACGUGCCCAGUCGUGGGGGAUAACGUAGCGAAAGUUACGCUAAUACCGCAUACGAUCUAUGGAUGAAAGCGGGGGAUCGCAAGACCUCGCGCGAUUGGAGCGGACGAUAUCAGAUUAGGUAGUUGGUGGGGUAAAGGCUCACCAAGCCGACGAUCUGGAGCUGGUCUGAGAGGACGACCAGCCACACUGGGACUGAGACACGGCCCAGACUCCUACGGGAGGCAGCAGUGGGGAAUUUUGGACAAUGGGCGAAAGCCUGAUCCAGCCAUGCCGCGUGAGUGAAGAAGGCCUUCGGGUUGUAAAGCUCUUUCGGCAGGAACGAAACGGCGAGCUCUAACAUAGCUUGCUAAUGACGGUACCUGAAGAAGAAGCACCGGCUAACUACGUGCCAGCAGCCGCAGUAA
This 500-nucleotide ribosomal RNA is filed under the name uncultured bacterium. RNAcentral describes it as "partial 16S ribosomal RNA". It matches the Rfam family "Bacterial small subunit ribosomal RNA", at positions 29 to 523 of the family's 1533-position model. The record is from RNAcentral.